Molecule: long non-coding RNA, 609 nt
Organism: Notolabrus celidotus (New Zealand spotty)
Lineage: Eukaryota; Metazoa; Chordata; Actinopteri; Labriformes; Labridae
Exons: 3
Source: RefSeq, a predicted model, not a curated record
GUGACCCUUGACCUUUCCUCUUUGUUGCAGAAAUGUUUGGUCUGGUGGAAUCAAACCAACAAGGUACUAACUUGGAAACUGUGAUGCCAAACAUGAAGGACAGAGGAGAAUAGGCAGCAGGAACGAUGAAGUUGAUGAAGACAAAGUGUUUUUGGAGCUGCUUUAAUACUGCCACAAGCUCUCCCUGAAGGAUCUUUUCACACCCUGGGAUCAUCCGCAACACCUGCCCUGCAACCUGAUUCCUCCCCUGGUCCCUCCUCGGUAGCGGGGUCAUCUUCACCAUUCUGCCUCCUGCCCCUGGCUGUUUCUGGCUGUGGACUGAGCUUCAGUACCCUCUAGGGGAGAUCUCUGGAGCCGGAUCAGUCGCUGACAGGACUUGAUGUUCACAUCCAGGACAGAAGCUACCAAAGACGUUUGAUUGUCCCAAAUGAAAGAAACGAGUACCACGACUACUUUGUCUUUAUGUGCACGUAACUCUUCCAACCAUAUACCCGUGGACAAAACAAGCCGACAGAAAAGUGAAGUUAUUUGACCUGAAUCUUGAUGUCUUUUACUUUUAAAGCCAAAGAAAAAGCAAUAAAAAAAAAAAAAACAUCUGAGAGAACCUUU